Molecule: non-coding RNA, 1372 nt
Organism: Megalopta genalis
Lineage: Eukaryota; Metazoa; Arthropoda; Insecta; Hymenoptera; Halictidae
Source: RefSeq, a predicted model, not a curated record
GUAACAGACUAAUGUCAUGAAAACUGGCCAAACGAGUUAAAAACCGGCCGGCUGACCGUCCUGGACUAAACUGGCGCCAAACUGGGCUCCGAACUUGUUGUUCUCGGAAAACGAAGUCUCAUCGGCAGUGAAUUACAAAUUCCUCCAGCGACCGAAUAUUUUGCUCGCCCCCAUUCAGAAAGUUCGAAAGCCUUAGGAAAGGAUGCAACGCCUUGUCUCGACAAAUGAAAAGAGAACGCCAUCAUCUCGGAAGUUUUAUGAAUUGCAGGAUACCACUGACAGAACCAGAGAAUUAUCUCCCCACGGAGCGACAUUUGUGAGGAUCAUCGAUCCCUCGACCGCACAACAUAAUCUUCCCCUUGAUUCGGCGUUCUCGACUUUCAUCGAGAGAGAACACAAAAAGGAUUGCGCGCCUAUGGGUGGAAUCCUCAAAGCUUCCUAACAUCAAUAGGCCAGCCGUAGACCGAGGAGGAGUCACAAAAGAAGGCACUUGUGGCUUGAAGAGGUCGAGAAAAUCGGCCGUUCGAAUAAACGACGUGCAUUGUGCGCGCUCCUCGGUUAUCCCCCCCCUACCCCCCACGUCACUCGGCGACUGACCGAUAUUUGGCCGGAGCUGAUCUAAUAGGGUGGAUUAGGGGCCCGAGAGGGAGAACCGACGCUGCACAGCGGGGAUUUCGAUUCAUCUACCUGGGCAAAAUCCAUGUCAUCUUUCGUUCCAGGUAAAAAUUACCUGCGGUAGGUAAUUAACGCUGGCUUAGGGGACUCGUCAAUACCACGUAUAGUACGAUUUUUAUGGUGAUCGAAAAUGGAAAAUCAGACGCUACUCACGUACGAUAUUUGAAAAUGUUAAACUCGAUGCUUUAAAAUGUACGUAUGCAACAAUGUACAGCAGCUUUUUGCUCCUACACGUAUGUGUACAUUCGCACAGAAUUGACUGUAACGUAGAGGCGAUAGUAUAGGCAACCGGAAGAAUGGGAAAGAAAGGCGGUGCCACUCAAAGAAACGGAUCCAAGGUGCCAGAUUCACCAAACCUUCGACCAUUCCGGCCAACAAUGCCAGCCCAUCUGAUGUCAGACGUAUUUCCUGUCUGGGUGUGUUCAUUCUAAUGUACUAGGUGUUCUGGUUGAUCCAUUAUUCGAGUAUAAUGACUCCAUUUCUGUUCCACCGAAUCUAUUUCUGUUCACUGAGUUACGAGAUGUUGGAGAGGGGACGAAGUUGUUAUGCUUUUCUCGUGAAAAACAUAUUGGUAGAUUAUUAGCAGACGAAUAGAGAGAUUAGGGACGUCGAAUUAGUUCUUUUCGUGUGCACUGUAAAAAAGGUGUAAAGCAUCUACGGAGUUUAAAAAUUAAAGAAGUCAAAUUAGAACGAUUAA